AUGUUUCCAUUAAGAUAACUAUUACAGUCAACACAUGAUGUAAUCAAUAUAAAUUAGACCAAAAUAUUCGAUAUGAUUUAUAAAGAAAAAAAUAAUUAUCUACUCUACUUCUUAAGAUAAUGUGGCAUUUUGGAUAUGUGGCAAACUCAAUGCAAGUAAUAUUACAAGUGGACCUAAAUAAAGAGGGAAAGCCGAUGCCAAUAAUGAUGGGGAGAAAAGUGAUGGUGG
This 228-nucleotide long non-coding RNA is filed under the name Elaeis guineensis (African oil palm). RNAcentral's name for it is "long non-coding RNA (EGUI_LNC007558)". Lineage: Eukaryota; Viridiplantae; Streptophyta; Magnoliopsida; Arecales; Arecaceae. The record is from RNAcentral.